CUUUACAAUGUUUCUUUUGAUUGGUAGUACCGAAGACUAUUGGAAAAGACAGGAUGCUGCUCAAGUAAUGGCUCAGUUAGUAUGGGAAGGACUUGGACUCGGAGGAAGGACAGAUGUCUGAAACUGAGGCAGGUAGAAUGAUAA
Arachis ipaensis is the source of this 144-nucleotide non-coding RNA. NCBI's taxonomy places the organism in Eukaryota, Viridiplantae, Streptophyta, Magnoliopsida, Fabales, Fabaceae. The record is from RefSeq and is a predicted model, not a curated record.